RNAcentral lists this ribosomal RNA (253 nucleotides) under uncultured bacterium. RNAcentral's name for it is "partial 16S ribosomal RNA". It matches the Rfam family "Bacterial small subunit ribosomal RNA", at positions 524 to 776 of the family's 1533-position model. The record is from RNAcentral.
AACGUAGGAGCCAAGCGUUAUCCGAAUUCACUGGGCGUAAAGCGUGUGCAGGCGGUCAUGUAAGUUGGAUGUGAAAUCUCCUGGCUCAACUGGGAGAGGCCGUUCAAUACUGUAUGACUAGAGGGCAACAGAGGGAAGUGGAAUUCCGGGAGUAGUGGUGAAAUGCGUAGAUAUCCGGAGGAACACCAGUGGCGAAAGCGGCUUCCUGGGUUGCAUCUGACGCUCAGACACGAAAGCUAGGGGAGCGAACGGG